RNAcentral lists this ribosomal RNA (253 nucleotides) under uncultured bacterium. RNAcentral describes it as "partial 16S ribosomal RNA". It matches the Rfam family "Bacterial small subunit ribosomal RNA", at positions 524 to 776 of the family's 1533-position model. The record is from RNAcentral.
UACGUAGGGGGCACGCGUUGUCCGGAAUCAUUGGGCGUAAAGCGCGUGUAGGCGGCUCGGUAAGUCUGCUGUGAAAGUCCAGGGCUCAACCCUGGGAUGCCGGUGGAUACUGUCGAGCUCGAGUCCGGAAGAGGCGAGUGGAAUUCCUGGUGUAGCGGUGAAAUGCGCAGAUAUCAGGAGGAACACCAAUGGCGAAGGCAGCUCGCUGGGACGUGACUGACGCUGAGACGCGAAAGCGUGGGGAGCAAACAGG